ACGCUGGCGGCGUGCUUAACACAUGCAAGUCGAACGGAAAGGCCCUGCUUUUGUGGGGUGCUCGAGUGGCGAACGGGUGAGUAACACGUGAGUAACCUGCCCUUGACUUUGGGAUAACUUCAGGAAACUGGGGCUAAUACCGGAUAGGAGCUCCUGCUGCAUGGUGGGGGUUGGAAAGUUUCGGCGGUUGGGGAUGGACUCGCGGCUUAUCAGCUUGUUGGUGGGGUAGUGGCUUACCAAGGCUUUGACGGGUAGCCGGCCUGAGAGGGUGACCGGCCACAUUGGGACUGAGAUACGGCCCAGACUCCUACGGGAGGCAGCAGUGGGGAAUAUUGCACAAUGGGCGGAAGCCUGAUGCAGCAACGCCGCGUGCGGGAUGACGGCCUUCGGGUUGUAAACCGCUUUCGCCUGUGACGAAGCGUGAGUGACGGUAAUGGGUAAAGAAGCACCGGCUAACUACGUGCCAGCAGCCGCGGUGAUACGUAGGGUGCGAGCGUUGUCCGGAUUUAUUGGGCGUAAAGGGCUCGUAGGUGGUUGAUCGCGUCGGAAGUGUAAUCUUGGGGCUUAACCCUGAGCGUGCUUUCGAUACGGGUUGACUUGAGGAAGGUAGGGGAGAAUGGAAUUCCUGGUGGAGCGGUGGAAUGCGCAGAUAUCAGGAGGAACACCAGUGGCGAAGGCGGUUCUCUGGGCCUUUCCUGACGCUGAGGAGCGAAAGCGUGGGGAGCGAACAGGCUUAGAUACCCUGGUAGUCCACGCUGUAAACGGUGGGUACUAGGUGUGGGGUCCAUUCCACGGGUUCCGUGCCGUAGCUAACGCUUUAAGUACCCCGCCUGGGGAGUACGGCCGCAAGGCUAAAACUCAAAGGAAUUGACGGGGCCCCGCACAAGCGGCGGAGCAUGCGGAUUAAUUCGAUGCAACGCGUAGAACCUUACCUGGGUUUGACAUGGAUCGGGAGCGCUCAGAGAUGGGUGUGCCUCUUUUGGGGUCGGUUCACAGGUGGUGCAUGGCUGUCGUCAGCUCGUGUCGUGAGAUGUUGGGUUAAGUUCCGCAACGAGCGCAACCCUUGUUCACUGUUGCCAGCACGUUAUGGUGGGGACUCAGUGGAGACCGCCGGGGUCAACUCGGAGGAAGGUGGGGAUGACGUCAAGUCAUCAUGCCCCUUAUGUCCAGGGCUUCACGCAUGCUACAAUGGCUGGUACAGAGAGUGGCGAGCCUGUGAGGGUGAGCGAAUCUCGGAAAGCCGGUCUCAGUUCGGAUUGGGGUCUGCAACUCGACCUCAUGAAGUCGGAGUCGCUAGUAAUCGCAGAUCAGCAACGCUGCGGUGAAUACGUUCCCGGG
This 1338-nucleotide ribosomal RNA is filed under the name uncultured bacterium. RNAcentral describes it as "16S ribosomal RNA". It matches the Rfam family "Bacterial small subunit ribosomal RNA", at positions 33 to 1378 of the family's 1533-position model. The record is from RNAcentral.